This 427-nucleotide ribosomal RNA is filed under the name uncultured bacterium. Its description in RNAcentral is "bacterial SSU rRNA". It matches the Rfam family "Bacterial small subunit ribosomal RNA", at positions 355 to 774 of the family's 1533-position model. The record is from RNAcentral.
UGGGGAAUUUUGGACAAUGGGCGCAAGCCUGAUCCAGCCAUGCCGCGUGCGGGAAGAAGGCCUUCGGGUUGUAAACCGCUUUUGUACGGAACGAAACGGCUCUGGUUAAUACCUGGGGCUAAUGACGGUACCGUAAGAAUAAGCACCGGCUAACUACGUGCCAGCAGCCGCGGUAAUACGUAGGGUGCGAGCGUUAAUCGGAAUUACUGGGCGUAAAGCGUGCGCAGGCGGUGAUGUAAGACAGAUGUGAAAUCCCCGGGCUCAACCUGGGACCUGCAUUUGUGACUGCAUCGCUGGAGUGCGGCAGAGGGGGAUGGAAUUCCGCGUGUAGCAGUGAAAUGCGUAGAGAUGCGGAGGAACACCGAUGGCGAAGGCAGCCUCCUGGGCCAGUACUGACGCUCAUGCACGAAGGCGUGGGGAGCAAACA